UAGGGAAUAUUGCGCAAUGGGCGAAAGCCUGACGCAGCAACACCGCGUGUAUGAUGACGCCCUUCUUGGGUGUAAAAUACUGUCAGAGGGGACGAAAAUUGACUGUACCCUCAGAGGAAGCAUCGGCUAACUCCGUGCCAGCAGCCGCGGUAAGACGGAGGAUGCGAGCGUUGUCCGGAAUCAUUGGGCGUAAAGAGUUCGUAGGCGGCAUGUCAAGUCUGGUGUCAAAGCCCGGAGCUUAACUCCGGUUCGGCACUGGAAACUGGCAAGCUAGAGCAUAGUAGAGGCAAGGGGAAUUCCCAGUGUAGCGGUGAAAUGCGUAGAUAUUGGGAGGAACACCAGUGGCGUAAGCGCCUUGCUGGGCUAUUGCUGACGCUGAGGAACGAAAGCCAGGGGAGCG
RNAcentral lists this ribosomal RNA (400 nucleotides) under uncultured bacterium. RNAcentral describes it as "bacterial SSU rRNA". It matches the Rfam family "Bacterial small subunit ribosomal RNA", at positions 355 to 770 of the family's 1533-position model. The record is from RNAcentral.